AUGGUGCGAGGCCUGCCAUGCCUCGACCAUGUGGAGCAGUUCUGCGACAUCUGCGUGAUGACGAAGCAGAGACGACUCCCCUUUCCCCAACAGGCGAGUUUUCGGGCCAAGGAGAGGCUGGAGCUCGUGCACGGAGACCUGUGCGGCCCGGUGACGCCAGCCACACCAGGAGGUCGACGCUACUUCCUGCUGCUCGUCGACGAUCUCUCCCGUUACAUGUGGGUGAUGAUCCUCGGCAGUAAGGGAGAGGCGGCGGACGCCAUCAGGCGCGCGCAGGUUGGUGUGGAGGCGGAGAGCGGCCGCAAAUUGCGCGUGUUGCGCACUGACAACGGCGGCGAAUUCACGGCGGCUGAAUUCGCGUCGUACUGCGCCGAUGAGGGCAUCCAGCGCCACUACUCCGCGCCGUACAGCCCGCAGCAAAACGGCGUCGUCGAGCGGCGCAACCAGACGGUUGUGGGGAUGGCUCGAGCUCUCCUCAAGCAGAGAGGGAUGCCGGCUGUCUUCUGGGGAGAGGCGGUGCUAACAGUCGUCUACAUCCUAAACCGCUCGCCUACCAAGGCACUCGACGGCAGGACACCGUACGAGGCCUGGCAUGGGCGGAAGCCGGCGGUCUCCCACUUGCGGGUCUUUGGCUGCCUUGCGUUCGCCAAGGAGCUCGGUCACAUCGGCAAGCUCGACGACAGGAGCACUCCGGGAGUCUUCAUCGGCUACGCGGAGGGCUCAAAGGCCUACCGCAUCCUCAACCCAAAGACACAGCGUGUGCGCACGGCGCGAGACGUCGUGUUCAACGAAGGGCGAGGGUGGCAAUGGGACAAGGCGGUGGACGACGGCUCGACGCCGACGUACGACGACUUCAUUGUCGAGUACGUCCACUUCAAGGAAGCCGGGGGAGCAACCAGCUCCUCGUCGCCGGGCACGCCUACCCCGGCCCCCAAAACCACAUCGACUCCGGUGCCUGCUACGCCGACGGCACCACAACCGGCGACGCCGCACACUCCAGCCCCGGCAAUCACCACCCCGGGCUCAUCUUCAUCAGCACCAGCUCACGCAGAGCACAACCCGACGAAGUUCGCUUCUCCGCUCACUCACGACGAGGAGCGGAUCGACGCGUAUUAUGGCGGCGAACCGCUGCGGUAUCGUACGAUGGAAGAUCUACUCGGCGACCAGCCGGUGCCGAGACUGGUGCCACGUGACCUGGAGGCGCAGCUACAAAUCGCGUGUGAAGACGGCGAACCACGGUCUUUUGCAGAGGCCGAGAGAGACGCGGCAUGGCGCGCCGCGAUGCAGUUGGAGAUGGAUGCGGUCGAGCAAAACCGCACCUGGGAGCUCGCUGACCUCCCUCGUGGUCACCGCGCAAUCACCCUUAAGUGGGUGUUCAAGCUGAAGAGGGAUGGAGCCGGCGCCAUCAUCAAGCACAAGGCUCGCUUGGUGGCCCGAGGCUUCUUGCAACAGGAAGGAGUCGACUUCGACGACGCUUUCGCUCCCGUGGCACGGAUGGAGUCCGUGCGACUUCUCCUCGCGCUGGCUGCCCAGGAGGGCUGGCAUGUCCAUCACAUGGAUGUCAAGUCGGCAUUCCUCAACGGCGACUUGAAGGAGGAAGUCUACGUGCAUCAGCCACCGGGAUUUGCGAUCCCUGGCCAGGAGGGCAAGGUACUCCGCCUGCGCAAGGCUCUCUAUGGCCUACGGCAGGCACCUAGGGCGUGGAACGCCAAGCUGGACUCCACGCUAAAGAAGAUGGGCUUCGAGCAAAGCCCGCAUGAGGCGGCCGUCUACCGACGGGGCAGUGGAGGAAACGCCCUGCUGGUGGGCGUCUAUGUUGACGACUUGGUGAUUACCGGCACCAAAGAUGCAGAGGUGGCAGCGUUCAAGGAAGACAUGAAGGCCACCUUCCAGAUGAGUGAUCUGGGGCUCCUCUCCUUCUAUCUUGGGAUUGAGGUGCACCAGGAUCACUCCGGGAUCGCGCUUCGACAGUCCGCCUACGCCAAGCGCAUCGUUGAGCUAGCUGGGCUCACCGACUGUCACCCAGCUCUCACUCCGAUGGAGGAGAGGCUGAAACUGAGCCGCGACAGCAAGGCGGAGGAAGUGGAUGCUACGCAGUACCGACGCCUUGUGGGGAGCCUUCGCUACCUCGCCCACACACGACCGGACUUGGCAUUCUCCGUCGGCUAUGUCAGUCGGUUCAUGGAGCGACCGACGUCGGAACACCAGCAGGCAGUGAAGAGGAUCGUCCGCUACGUAGCAGGGACCCUCGACCACGGCCUCCACUACCCUAGGUGUCCGGGGGCGGCACACUUCGUCGGGUACAGCGACCACGCCGGCGACAUCGACACCAGCAAGAGCACGAGCGGGAUCCUCUUCUUCCUCGGCAAGUGUCUCGUGAGCUGGCAAUCAGUCAAGCAGCAGGUGGUGGCCCUGUCCAGCUGUGAGGCUGAGUACAUAGCGGCCUCCACCGCCUGCACUCAGGCGCUCUGGCUCGCUCGACUGCUUGGUGAUCUUCUUGUUCAAGACACCAGAACGGUGCAGCUCCUGGUGGACAGCAAGUCCGCCCUGGCCCUGGGAGCAUCGAGGCGAGCUACAUCAACACCACGGACCAGCUCGCAGACCUGCUCACCAAGCCUCUUGGGAGGAUCAAGUUCCUCGAACUCUGCUCCAGGAUCGGGAUGA
Molecule: ribosomal RNA, 2664 nt
Filed under: Triticum aestivum (bread wheat)
Lineage: Eukaryota; Viridiplantae; Streptophyta; Magnoliopsida; Poales; Poaceae
Description: partial small subunit ribosomal RNA
Source: RNAcentral